This 468-nucleotide ribosomal RNA is filed under the name uncultured bacterium. RNAcentral describes it as "partial 16S ribosomal RNA". It matches the Rfam family "Bacterial small subunit ribosomal RNA", at positions 28 to 507 of the family's 1533-position model. The record is from RNAcentral.
GACGAACGCUGGCGGCGUGCUUAACACAUGCCAGUCGAACGGAAGGGCCCUGCUUUUGUUGGGUGCUCGUUUGGCGAACGGGUGAGUGACGCGCGAGUAACCUCCCCUUGACUUUGUGGGAACAUCACGAAAAUGGGGCGAAUACCCGAUAGAAUCUCCUGCACCAUGGGGGGGGUUGGAAAAAUUCGGCCUUUCGGGAUGGACUCGCUGGUUAUCAGCUUGUUGGUGAGGUAGGUGAUUACCAAGGCUUUGAAGGCUAGGCGGCCUGAGAGGGUGACCGGGCACAUGGGGACUGAGAGACGGCCCAGAAUCCAACGGGCGGCAGUAGUGGGAAAUAUUGCACAAUGGGGGGGAGCCAGAUGCAGCAACGCCGCGUGCGGGAUGAUGGCCUUCGGGUUGAAAACAGCUUUCGCAUGUGCCGAAGAGUGAGUGACGGUAAUGGGUAAAGAAGCACCGGCUAACUACGUG